RNAcentral lists this unclassified non-coding RNA (343 nucleotides) under soil metagenome. RNAcentral describes it as "partial contains 5.8S ribosomal RNA, internal transcribed spacer 2, and large subunit ribosomal RNA". The stretch from base 1 to 120 matches the Rfam family "5.8S ribosomal RNA", at positions 35 to 154 of the family's 154-position model. The record is from RNAcentral.
GAUGAAGAACGUAGCGAAAUGCGAUAAGUAAUGUGAAUUGCAGAAUUGAGUGAAUCAUCGAAUCUUUGAACGCACAUUGCGCCCGCUAGUAUUCUGGCGGGCAUGCCUGUCCGAGCGUCAUUUCAACCCUCAAGCCCCCGGGCUUGGUGUUGGGGAUCGGCGAGCCUCCGCGCCCGCCGUCCCCUAAAUCUAGUGGCGGUCUCGCUGUAGCUUCCUCUGCGUAGUAGCACACCUCGCACUGGGAAACAGCGCGGCCACGCCGUUAAACCCCCAACUUCUGAACGUUUGACCUCGGAUCAGGUAGGAAUACCCGCUGAACUUAAGCAUAUCAAUAAGCGGAGGA